CAGAGAGCUGUCCAAGACAACAACCAGAUGUCGGAGCGCCAGGAAACCGAGAAAGCAAACAGGUGGCCAGAGCAGAGCCUGGUGCAGUGGGGGCUUCCUCAUCCCUCGGGCAGUCCCACGAGACUCGUGGCCACAACUGUCCUGCUCUGCAUGCUAUUGGACCCAGUCAUCCUCCAGACUCUAGGGCACCAGGAUCUUACAACCGUGGAAGGAUUCCCCCGUCUAAACUUGAAGUUUGACUCGAGGAGAAUGGAACUGAGUUGGGACUGCAAGGAAAACACUAUGUACCUCAAGUGCGUGAUGAUCCACAAGGAGAAAGGGCCAAUCGAAAUAAUGCUCAAGGAGAAUGAAUGUCACUGCAAGUUUCCGGAUUAUCCUCUCCAUGAGGGCGUCAUGUUCAUGGUUAAAGUAAAUAGCAUCCAAAGACCGAUUCCAGAAACACUGGUCUACACUAACCCAGGUGGGAUGGGCACAGCUGCCCAAAACUUCUCCUGUUUUAUCUACAAUGCAAACUUCAUGAACUGCACUUGGGCAAAGGGUCAAGCUGCCCCUGAUGACGUGCAAUAUUUUUUGUACAUACGAGACUUGAAACAAAGAAGGGAAAGAGAGUGUCCUCAUUAUUUAGAAGACUCAGGAAUCCACGUAGGAUGUCACUUGGAAGACCUCUCGGGAUUAGCGUACUACAAUUACUUCCUGGUGAAUGGUACCAGCCAAAGGACAGGAAUCCAGUUCUUUGAUUCGAUUUUGUUCUGGAAGAAAAUAGAAAUAUACAGCCCGCCCAACAAUAUCAGCGUGCACUGCAACGUGUCGCACUGUCUGAUCCAGUGGGGAAAGCCUGUGACCCGACACGCCCUGUCCAACAGGGAGUUCAAGUACCAGCUGGACAUCCAGAGACUGAAAAAUAAGGAACACAGCGGGAACCAACUGAUUGAGGUGUCUGGUAAUUGGGAAAAUAAAUACAACUUCCCGAGUCCAGAGCCCAGAGUCAAGCAUACUGUGAAAAUACGGACCUCAGACGCGCGGAUCCAGAGGUGGGGCUCCUGGAGCCAGCCUGUGGAGUUCGGCUCCGACGACCCCGAGGCCAGCCUUGUGCACAUCUACAUGCUGGUGGUCCUGGGGACCCUUGUCUCCGCCCUGAUCAUCGGUUGCCUUUUGAAAAGGCCCCCGAGCCAACCCGUCCGGCCCCCACACGUCAGCUGCACAGUGGACUUCGUCCGAGCUCAGCGGUGCUUACACAGGGCUUGCAUUCAGCCUCACGGCAGCGAGCUUCCUCUUUGUGGAAUGCUUUCCCCUCCAACCCCUCCGCUGGCGGUUCAUUUCCACCUGAUAAGCCUCACCGGGUACUCAGGGAUCCCCCCGCUCCUGACCCACUCCCUUCCUGGACGCCUCCACGGAGCCCAGCCUGAACCUUCCCGUGUACCUGCUUACCGCCAGCCUCUCCGCGGGCUCCUCCCUGGAAGGCUACCACGUCGUUUCCAGUGUGUGAUCUCUGCACCAGGCAGGGUCCCGGGGCGUCUCGCAAAUGCCUCUGAAUGAACGUGCAUCCAUGAAAUCAUUAAUUCCCACUUGCAUGCAGGUUGCAUGCAGAUUGCAUGAUGUUGUGCAAAGCACGGGGACUUUUUGCAGCUGGUGGUCCUCCUGCAUGAUGUGGGGACCCCCUGGAUGUCCUCCUGUGCUCACCCCCGAGGCCCCGCACCCUGGUAGGGCAUCCUGGGUGUAUCUCCCUCACGAUGGACACGCGGUGUGGCUAACCGCACGGGAAUGCUGCAUAAGCACAAGGAGAGGAUGGCGCCCAGGCUGCUGGAUGCACGGGCGGCUUGACACCACCCCGUUCUCGGGGGACCCUGAACCUUCGGGGCCAAAGGGGAACAGGGGCAGCCUCGCGACCUGCUGCCGGAAUGGGCACAGACCACGUGCCUUGCACAGGGACAGUUAUCUUAAUGAGAAGUUGUCUGAGUUUCCUGCAGCCACAGGAAAAAAAUGACCACAAACCAGAUGGUUUGAAAUAUUAGAAAUUCAAUCUGUCCCAGACAUCUGAGCUCCAAGAGGGACAGGACCAUCAAGGUCCAGGGCAGAGGCUCCGGGAGGGUCUGUCCUGCCUCUUCCAGUGUCUGGGGCCCCAGGCAUCCCCAGGCUGGUGGCCGCGUCCCUCUGGUCUCUGCCUCCAUCCUCUGUGUCUGCGUCUCCUCUUCUGUCUCUUCCAAGGACCCCUCAUUGGACGUAGGGCCACCCUCAUCCAGGAUGACCUCAUGUUAACAUGAUUCCAUCUGCAAAGACCCUAUUUCCAAACAAGAUCCUGUUUCCAGAUUCCGGGACUCAAGACUGGAAUUUAUAUUUUUGGGGGGAAGCCCCUACUGAGCUGAGCAGAAGCAACUCCAGGUGUCCUGCAAUGGGAGGGGCUUCUCCUGAAAUAAGAGAAAAAAGCAAACGUGCCUUUGAAAAUGCAGGAAGACUCUGAUGUUGGGCAAAUAUGACAUCUGCUUUAAGUAAAAUCUAGGUGAAAAUUAGCAUUUAUGUAAAAAUGUUAGGAAAAAAAAACGAUAAAUGCAGCAUGUAGACAGAAAACCUGCCGGACCGGAAAACGUGCUCUUGGUGGUUGUGUGGACGCAGGAGGAGACACACGCGUUGUGAUCCUCAGGGACUCUGGAGGCUGCCCAUGACCUGCCAUGACCCCCAGUCCCAUCCUUCCCCGUCUCUGUACCAGAGGGACCAAGUGAAGGUUCUAGAAAUAUCAUCACGGGCGUCCCUAUGUGCUCCUGUAGCAUCUCCUACUUGCUCACUCAUCCCAGAGUUGGUUUGUCCUGCUGUGAGUCUUCCGUGAAAUUGUCCAGAGGCACGCGGUCCAGAGGCGUGUCACUGGGGGGUGGGGGAGACGUGUCCCGCGUCCCCAUGUCCUCAGGGUCUUUCCUUCACACGCUUCUUGUCUUACCAGAUUCCUCGCAUCUCGGAGGCUUUUCCCACGGAUUCCGCACGUCAAAGACAAAUGGAACGACAACCAUCCGUCUGACCACCAGGUCAUCUGGGAGAAGUUCGCCUCAGACCCGCAAAAAGCUGACAACGAAGAGAUCGUGACCGU
Molecule: RNA transcript, 3076 nt
Organism: Nyctereutes procyonoides (raccoon dog)
Lineage: Eukaryota; Metazoa; Chordata; Mammalia; Carnivora; Canidae
Gene: CSF2RA
Gene name: colony stimulating factor 2 receptor subunit alpha
Exons: 12
Source: RefSeq, a predicted model, not a curated record